Molecule: ribosomal RNA, 380 nt
Filed under: Arthroleptis wageri
Lineage: Eukaryota; Metazoa; Chordata; Amphibia; Anura; Arthroleptidae
Description: partial 16S ribosomal RNA
Rfam family: Bacterial large subunit ribosomal RNA
Source: RNAcentral
CUUCCCGUGAAGAAGCGGGAAUUACUCUAUAAGACGAGAAGACCCCAUGAAGCUUCAAAUAAGUAUCAACUGUUAACCUUAUACCACCAGAAACCUAAUGGCGAUGACUACUAAUUUUAGGUUGGGGCGACCAUGGAGUAAAACAAAACCUCCACAAUGAAAAGACAUAACCCCUUACUCAAGAACAACAGUUCUAACAAUCAAUACAUUGACAUAAAUUGACCCAAAUUUGAUCAAUGAACCAAGUUACUCUGGGGAUAACAGCGCUAUCUAUUUCAAGAGUUCAUAUCGACAAAUGGGUUUACGACCUCGAUGUUGGAUCAGGGUAUCCUAGUGGUGCAGCCGCUACUAAAGGUUCGUUUGUUCAACGAUUAAAACCC